This 254-nucleotide ribosomal RNA is filed under the name uncultured bacterium. RNAcentral describes it as "partial 16S ribosomal RNA". It matches the Rfam family "Bacterial small subunit ribosomal RNA", at positions 524 to 776 of the family's 1533-position model. The record is from RNAcentral.
CACGUAGGGGGCAAGCGUUGUCCGGAUUUAUUGGGCGUAAAGAGCUCGUAGGCGGUUCGGUAAGUCGGGUGUGAAACCUCCAGGCUCAACCUGGAGACGCCACCCGAUACUGCUGUGACUAGAGUCCGGUAGGGGAGCGUGGAAUUCCUGGUGUAGCGGUGAAAUGCGCAGAUACCAGGAGGAACACCGGUGGCGAAGGCGGGACUCUGGGCCGAUACUGACGCUGAGGAGCGAAAGCGUGGGGAGCGAACAGG